AUGCGUGUAAGAGCUGCCAUGAAGAUGGCAUACCUCCUGGCCUUCGCCGUGGUCUUGCUCUCGGCGUGCAGCCUCGCCUCCUCGAGGUCGCUGCCCUCGGUCACCACCCAUGGAGCCGACGCACAGCUGGAAGGUGGCCGAGCCGCGCGCGCCAAGCUCGACCCUCCAACCGCGAAUGCCGAUAAACCGCCGGAGCUCGGCAUCCGCGACGACGGUGCCAUUCAGACUGAGAAGAAAAAGCGCCAUGCCGAGGCGCCGCCCAAGCACCACGGGCCUGGCAAACACGCUCCCCCGGCCGACCCUUCGCCGCCGGCGCCUGAUCCGGACGGCGGCCAGCCCCCGGAGGUACCUGUUCCGGAGGGCCCGCACGACCAGAACCCGCCGGCGUGGCCGUUCCCGUGGCCGCAGCCGCCACCGGGCAACGACCAGUGGCCGCCGUUCCACCCGCCGCCGCUCCCCGCGUGGACGCGUCCGGGCGACGACCGGCCGCCUCUGUCUCCGUUCCCGUUCCACCCACCGCCACUUCCUGCAUGGCCGCAACCAGAACCAGGCGACCAGUGGCCCCCGCUGCCGGCAUGGCCGCAGCCAGAACCAGGAAAGCAGUGGCCCCCGCUUCCUGCAUGGCCGGAGCCAGGACCGGGAGAGCAGUGGCCGCCGUUCCCGGCAUGGCCGCAGCCAGAACCAGGAAAGCAGUGGCCGCCGUUCCCGGCAUGGCCACAACCGGAGCCAGGAAAGCAGUGGCCUCCGUUCCCGUUCUACUUCUACCCGCCGCCGAUGCCGUCAUGGCAGUGGCCGCCAGCACCGUCUUUCCACGGCGAGGAGGAACAACACGCAUCUAGGCUGGCGCCGCCUGUUCCAGCGCACAACUGA
Molecule: ribosomal RNA, 870 nt
Filed under: Triticum aestivum (bread wheat)
Lineage: Eukaryota; Viridiplantae; Streptophyta; Magnoliopsida; Poales; Poaceae
Description: partial small subunit ribosomal RNA
Source: RNAcentral